This 1695-nucleotide long non-coding RNA is filed under the name Homo sapiens (human). RNAcentral describes it as "HSALNT0009566". Lineage: Eukaryota; Metazoa; Chordata; Mammalia; Primates; Hominidae. The record is from RNAcentral.
CAGUGCGCCAGCAUGGCACAUGUAUACAUAUGUAACUAACCUGCACAAUGUGCACAUGUCCCCUAAAACUUAAAGUAUAAUAAAAAAAAAAAAAGAAUCUUCAAACCUAAUGCCUAGAACAUUUUAUCAACAUUAAACUUCUAUUUAAAGUUUAUUCUUAGCUAUCUAUAAGAAACGUUUACUAGGAAGCAGAAAAAAUAAGCUCUUUCUAAAAGAGUAUAUUUGCAAUUUGAACUUUCAAAAAUUGAUAAAGCAGUACACACAUUUAUUUUUAGAAAUUGAAGCUGCAAAGCUAAGCAAUUUCCUACUAUGACAUGUGUGUUGGACAGUGUAGGGCAUAGCAAUGAUUAGUGAUUUUCAGCAGCCUUUCUUGAAUAGGCAUUGAAAAUAGCUAAACAAAAAAAGAGAAAUGAGCUGAAUUCUUGGAGUUAAUAUUUUGGAGUGAAUUAUAAAACAGAGUUCUUGCAAUAAUGCAUGUAAAUUAAAAAUAGGUUAGCAAAGCAUGAGUAAAAAUAGUCAAUUUUCAAAUACUUUUCACAGCUCUCCGAGUCUGACAUAUUUCUCUGGCUAAAAGGGAAGAAACAUAUCGGCACUCAUGUUGGGAAGACCUUAGAACAGCAAAGUACUAAAACUUGCCAAACCAACUUCAAGUGGCUUUCUUGUUAGUGCAAUACACACUGCACUGAGUUCCUGAGCAUAAUAUUUCCACCCUUUCCCACGGAGUCUGCUUAAAUUUGAAGAUUUUUUUUCUAGUAGGUGUAUUGUCCUUAAUUUUGGAGGAAGUUUUAAAAAGGUGGAUUAAUGUUAUAUAUGCUUCCGAGAAUAUUAUGCAACCAUGAAGCUUUGCACUUCAACAUAAAUGAAUCCCAAAAAGAGCCAGAUGAACUGUUGGCUGGGAGGCAGAGCCUUAGGAUGUUUCAAAUUCAUCGUGACUUCACAUAAAGGUCCUCUCUGGAGUAUGAAAGUCAAUUUUACAGGUGUAAAAUAAAGGAAAAGACGACAGUCUGAAAGUCAAACGAAAUUCCAGGACCACCUGUAUUUCAGUGAGCAGGAACUGUACUAGGAGAAGGAGCCAGAAAGGUGGUGACAUACUUUUCCUUUCGUGGGGAAACAGUCUAAUGGAGAGAAGGACAAGUAAGAAACCACAAAGUGUAUUUUGGAAAAGAAACUCCUCAGACCAAAACAAUAACAGCAACAACAAAAAACUGUUUUCGUUUGGGAGGAGGACCAAAAGGAAGGAAUAAGGGUCAGGCACUGACUCUACAGGUUGCCUCUCAUAUCUCUUCAUCAUAUAUACCUCUUCAAAUUCAAUCGAGAUUUCAAUUCGUCUCACUUCUCCCCAACCUUACUCUGAUCUCCUGGUAAUUUUAGAGUAAUUGAGAAUAUUUUCUAACAUACGUGUCAACAUAAUGAAGGAGCUGGGACCUAAGUGAAGAAGCGACAAAAUUUACAGUGGCUUUGAAUGCUGGUUCCUGAAUGGAUUUGCUUGACUGCAAUUCAAUCUUUUUUGUGGCUCAAGGCUCACUCACCUCUAAAAGGCACUUUGUUUGUCAGAAUCGAUUUAAAUCAAUUUCUGUGGAAAUUAAAAUUAAAUAUGGUAUCCCUAAGAUUCUUGCAUUUAUUUCAAUUUUUAAAUUAUUGAUUUAUACAUGAUUUUUAUGCCCCAUCAUUAUAUGAACAUUUAUAUAAUUAGUG